AAGUCUACUAUUUAAAGUACAUACACAUACUUGAUGGAGUAUUUUGCAUGCUAUGUACAGAACAUAGUUCCAAAAUGUUGGAGAACCAAACCGUAGGUUUAGUAAAUGCUAUAGUAACCCACGUUUCUGUACAAUAAAACUGCAUGGACAUGUAUUGAUUAUACAGAAGUACAAGGGCGAAAUUGAAUAAUAGACGAAGAGAUAAGGUUCGUUCUGGCCUUCCUUCCUCUCCCGUGCGGUUAGGGAUUUAUUCCCCAAAUCCAUCGCCGCCAAGGCCAGCCGAGCGCCGACGCUAGAAGGAGGAGCCGCGCUGGAGGGCUUCUUUCCUUCACGCGCCGGAAGGCGUCACCAUGCCGUGCACCGGCUGUUGGCCGCUGCCACCGCUGUGCGUUAGGCGGCGAGCGCCGUGCUUGGAGCAGCCUGGCUGAAGGAUGCAGCCACAGUGUAGCCGUCCCGCGAGGAACUUGGCCGAGGAGGCAUCUUCCGGGCCAUGGGUCGUCAUUGGAGCUUGCCUUGGACAACAUUGAUACGCCGUCCUGGAGGGAUGCAUGAUCUUCUUUGCCGUGAAGAUGGAGGGGCUGUUGAGACUGCCGGAGAUGCUGCCUCGAUUCUUGCCCGGAUGGUACCAUUCAUGGCUUGACGCUGAAGAUUCCGUAGCCGGACGACCGCCACGCUCCGGUCGUAUUGCCACCAGAUGCGAGAGAUAGCCUCGACGCCUCGCUGCUGUUAGGCUGCCUCCCCGUCGCUUUCUUCUUGUGUUGUGUUGGCCAAAACACUCUCGGAUACGAGCGUGCUGAUAACGUUUUAAAAGUAAACGAGAGAGAGAGAAGCGAAUGAUUGAAAAUGAACAGUCUUCUCAUUGAUGAAUGUUGGGGUAUUUAUACCCAGUACAA
Long non-coding RNA from Hordeum vulgare subsp. vulgare (domesticated barley), 893 nucleotides. RefSeq lists it as uncharacterized. NCBI's taxonomy places the organism in Eukaryota, Viridiplantae, Streptophyta, Magnoliopsida, Poales, Poaceae. The record is from RefSeq and is a predicted model, not a curated record. The transcript has 2 exons.